UACGUAGGGUGCGAGCGUUGUCCGGAAUUAUUGGGCGUAAAGCGCGCGUAGGCGGUUACUUAAGUCGGAUGUGAAAGCCCUCGGCUUAACUGAGGAAGUGCACCCGAAACUGAGUAGCUAGAGUACGAAAGAGGGUCGCGGAAUUCCCGGUGUAGAGGUGAAAUUCGUAGAUAUCGGGAGGAACACCAGUGGCGAAGGCGGUGCGCUGGGCCGGAACUGACGCUGAGGAGCGAAAGCGUGGGGAGCAAACGGG
Molecule: ribosomal RNA, 253 nt
Filed under: uncultured bacterium
Lineage: Bacteria
Description: partial 16S ribosomal RNA
Rfam family: Bacterial small subunit ribosomal RNA
Source: RNAcentral